UACGUAGGUGGCAAGCGUUGUCCGGAAUUACUGGGCGUAAAGCGUGCGCAGGCGGCCCGUUAAGACAGGUGUGAAAUCCCUGGGCUCAACCUAGGAAUUGCGCUUGUGACUGGCGGGCUCGAGUACGGUAGAGGGGGGUGGAAUUCCUGGUGUAGCAGUGAAAUGCGUAGAGAUCAGGAGGAACACCGAUGGCGAAGGCAGCCCCCUGGGCCUGUACUGACGCUCAUGCACGAAAGCGUGGGGAGCAAACAGG
Molecule: ribosomal RNA, 253 nt
Filed under: uncultured microorganism
Description: partial 16S ribosomal RNA
Rfam family: Bacterial small subunit ribosomal RNA
Source: RNAcentral